This is a long non-coding RNA of Heterocephalus glaber (naked mole-rat), 1065 nucleotides long. The record is from Ensembl. NCBI's taxonomy places the organism in Eukaryota, Metazoa, Chordata, Mammalia, Rodentia, Bathyergidae.
CAGAGAUGUUUCUCACUAAGAGGGAAAGUGGCUAAGCUCCACAUGUCCAUUGAGCCAACUGACUCCAUUAGUAAAAGAACUACAUUUGAUGAUUCUGUGUGACAGGACAGCCAAAAUCACAGUGGCUUAAACAUUGUAGAAUGUAGCUUUACCUUUCACUACAGAAGGCAAGAACGAGGUUGCCUGAGGUUGGGAUGCCAACUCCUCCAAGUCCUCAGGGACUCAGGGUGUUUCAGAGCUGCUCUGUGGGCUCAAGAGACCUCGUUCCCAGAGUGCAAUUCGGCUGUUGAAGCUCCUAUGCUCAUGAAGUCUUUAGCAGCAGCAUGGAGAAAGGGAGGUACAAAAGGCACAUUCCAACUAUAUAUAUAUACAUAUAUAUAUAUUUGGUACCGGGGAUCGAACUUGGGUCCUUGCGCUUGCGCAGCAGGCGGCAAAACCACUGAGCUAAACCCCCCGGCCCCCUCCAACUGUAUUUUAAUGUGGUUUACUUGAAACUGCCAGCCAACACUGCUUUUUACAGCUUACUGAGAUCCAGUAGGAGGCCAUAGGAAAGUUUGGCUUUACAGAAAUGUGGAAAGUUUCCCUUCCAAGAGCACUGGAGCAAGCAGACACCACACAGAGAUGAAGCAGGUGAGCAUAAUAUAAAUAGGAGCACCCUUGUGAAUGUAGCAUUCCAGCCCCUCACACAAUCUUCAACAAUUAAGGAAUGGGAAGAAGUAUGUAGAGUAUGAAUUGAGCCAUACCAAGAAUAAGUGACUUACCCAAGGUCACACACCAAUAGCUGGUGGAACUGGAACUUGCUCCAUUUUUUUCAGAUUCUAAAUUCAUUUACUCCAGCAUUCAACAAUCACUAAAGAAUGCAGGGUUGGCACUGUGCUGUCUUUUGGAAUAUAAGAAACAAUAGGACACAGUCCCUGCCUUGGUAAAGCUUACAGUCUAGGGUGGGGAAGAUAGUCAAGUAAACAAGAAACAGUAAUACAGGCUUGGCUAUGGUUUAUUAAGGAAAUUACCGGGAAUGAUGGGAUCACUUGAGGGACCCCAGCCCAGGGGCACAGAGGCAGUGAU